Non-coding RNA from Phrynosoma platyrhinos (Desert horned lizard), 72 nucleotides. NCBI's taxonomy places the organism in Eukaryota, Metazoa, Chordata, Lepidosauria, Squamata, Phrynosomatidae. The record is from the annotation of a GenBank genome assembly.
GCCAGUAUGGUAUAGUGGUUUGAAUGUUGGACUAUGACUCUGGAGACUAGGGUUCAGUUCCCCACUCAGCCA